UGCUGGGAUUACAGGCGUGAGCCACUACACCCGGCCCCUUUACCUUUUUUAGAGUAAUUUAUAUUCAUAUCUACAGUGACAUUAUUGAAUAUAGUUUUCUUUUUUCUCUCAUAUCUUUUAAUUUCCUUUCUAAAUUUAGUUUUCAGUAAUUACAGCUUUACCUAAAGAAUUCCAUUUCUGGCAAAAUUGUAUUAAAUUUGUUUUUGCAUUGUGAGAGGUUCUAAAUAUGUUUUACACAAGUAAAAGUCCUAAAUGAGAGCCAGAUGCAGUGGUGUAUGCCUGUAGUCCCAGCUACUUGGGAGGCUGAGGCAGGAGGAAUACUUGAGCCCGGGAGUUGAGAGCUGUAGUGCCUGUGAAUAGCCACUGCCCUCCAGCCUGGGCAACAUAGCAAGAGCUUGUCUCUUUUACAAAAAAAAGUUCCAAAACAACAUGAGGAGGGUGCAAACAAUCAGCUGUUGCAGGUAGAAUUUUUUUACAUACCAUCUCUGUUUCUCUGCUCUGUAUCGUAUCACAUCACUAUUGAAGCUAGUAGUAAAAUGUAAUAAAUAGACCCAGUGCAGUGUAAUUUUAUAUUAAUCAUUGUCCCGUAUGUAAUCUUCAUCAAUUAGAUUUUAAAGUAUUAUACUACAUUCUCAUGCCAGGCAAACAGAGGCGUAUUAGGCUUUUAACAUCUAUUACAUCUAUGUCUAUCAUCUUCUUGUUUCAGAUGCAAUUUAUUUAUUUUAUUGAGAUGGAGUCUUGCUCUGUCGCUCAGGCUGAAGUACAGUGGCACGAUCUUGGCUCACUGCAACCUCCGCCUCCUGGGUUCAAGCAACUCUCCUGCCUCAGCCUCUCCAGUAGCUGGAAUAACAGACACGCACCACCACACCCGGCUAAUUUUUGUGCUUUUAGUAGAAAUGGGGUUUUGCCAUGUUGGCCAGGCUGGUCUCGAACUCCUAAUCUCAAGUGAUCUGCCCACCUCAGCAUCCCAAAGUGCUAGGAUUACAGGCAUGAACCACCGCACCCGGCCCAGAUGCAAUUUAAAAGCUAUUUCAAAAAAAAACAAAAAAAGCAGUUGUAUUUCUGAUAAUUUUUUUUUCUUUUAGCUAUCAUGGUGAACUUACUUCAGAUUGUGCGGGACCACUGGGUUCAUGUUCUUGUCCCUAUGGGAUUUGUCAUUGGAUGUUAUUUAGACAGAAAGAGUGAUGAACGGCUAACUGCCUUCCGGAACAAGAGUAUGUUAUUUAAAAGGGAAUUGCAACCCAGUGAAGAAGUUACCUGGAAGUAAAGACUGGCUAGAUUAUCGAAUGUUCACAUUUUAAAGUUCUGAGAGAAAUAAAAACAUGAAGAAUCUG
RNAcentral lists this small RNA (1334 nucleotides) under Pan troglodytes (chimpanzee). RNAcentral describes it as "retained intron". Lineage: Eukaryota; Metazoa; Chordata; Mammalia; Primates; Hominidae. The record is from RNAcentral.